RNAcentral lists this unclassified non-coding RNA (263 nucleotides) under plant metagenome. Its description in RNAcentral is "partial contains small subunit ribosomal RNA, internal transcribed spacer 1, and 5.8S ribosomal RNA". The record is from RNAcentral.
GUUCCGUAGGUGAACCAGCGGAAGGAUCAUUAUUGUAUAACCGAGGUGCGAGGGCUGUCGCUGACUCGACAGGUUGGGCACGCCCGAGUGCCCUCACACACAUCCAUCUCACCCCUAUGUGCACCACCGCGUGGGUCCCCCUUUGGCUUGUUCGGAGGGGGGCUUACGUUUUCUCACAAACUUUGUAUGCAGUGUAGAAUGUAUUUUUUGUUUUUGCGAUCUCGCAAUCAAUACAACUUUCAACAACGGAUCUCUUGGCUCUC